UCUCCAUUUUGCACAGUCUCUCACAGGUCAGAGAGGCGAGAGAGUGUGUGAAAUGGAGAGA
This 61-nucleotide microRNA precursor is filed under the name Pristionchus pacificus. RNAcentral's name for it is "mir-8364 microRNA precursor family". It matches the Rfam family "mir-8364 microRNA precursor family". Lineage: Eukaryota; Metazoa; Nematoda; Chromadorea; Rhabditida; Neodiplogasteridae. The record is from Rfam by way of RNAcentral.